Bos taurus (domestic cattle) is the source of this 677-nucleotide long non-coding RNA. The record is from Ensembl. NCBI's taxonomy places the organism in Eukaryota, Metazoa, Chordata, Mammalia, Artiodactyla, Bovidae.
ACACUAGCGUGUGGGAUACAUGUUGAUGAGGCGCCUGGGUCUGUGAGAAAGCUUCAGGCCAGGAAAGCAGCAGGAAGACGGUAGGGUAGGGUAGAGGACCCUGGGCUGAGCCUCUGGACCUCUCAGAGUGGCCCCAGUGCACCCAGGACACGCCCCUCCCCACCCACUGACCACCCACCAGCUGACCGCCCCUGGGGCACUGUCUUCCGCUCAAGUGGGAUGAAGCACGCCCUGCUGCCCUCUCCGUCUGCUGGACCUGACAACCGCUCCCCCUCAGCACAUCAUUCCAGUGCUUGUAAAAACACAGACUCCAGGGUCCCUGUCCUGCUCUGCUGAAUGACUGCAGGAAGGCCUGAGAAUCUGUAUUUGUAACACGUUUCUCCAGCUCCCCCCAACCCCGAUGAUGUGGAUUCACACUGAUGUGUGGGAAGCCUGAACCUGAGGAUGAGGACAAGUCCUCUGGCAACAGAAUGAGAAAUGAACUGGAAAAAAAAGACAAGUCUGGCUUUUCUGCAGAAGAUGCCCCAGCAGAGACUCUGACUGGAUUUUGCUCCCCUUUGCAUCUCUCAUGCCACCUGGCACACGGUGAAUGAACAAAUUCAUGAACAAACAAACACCUGAAUGAACAAAUCAAUGCCUCUAAUAUUCUGUUCCCCAGUUCAAGGCCACACCUGACC